RNAcentral lists this ribosomal RNA (464 nucleotides) under uncultured bacterium. Its description in RNAcentral is "bacterial SSU rRNA". It matches the Rfam family "Bacterial small subunit ribosomal RNA", at positions 29 to 506 of the family's 1533-position model. The record is from RNAcentral.
ACGAACGCUGGCGGCGUGCUUAACACAUGCAAGUCGAACGGUGACCCGGAGCUUGCUCCGGUGAUCAGUGGCGAACGGGUGAGUAACACGUGGGCAACCUGCCCCAGACUCUGGGAUAACUGCCGGAAACGGCAGCUAAUACCGGAUACGACCACUUCGGACAUCCGAUGGUGGUGGAAAGUUUUUCGGUCUGGGAUGGGCCCGCGGCCUAUCAGCUAGUUGGUGAGGUAAUGGCCCACCAAGGCGACGAUGGGUAGCCGGCCUGAGAGGGCGACCGGCCACACUGGAACUGAGACACGGUCCAGACUCCUACGGGAGGCAGCAGUGGGGAAUAUUGCGCAAUGGGCGAAAGCCUGACGCAGCGACGCCGCGUGAGGGAUGACGGCCUUCGGGUUGUAAACCUCUUUCAGCAGGGACGAAGCGAAAGUGACUGUACCUGCAGAAGAAGCACCGGCUAACUACGU